Molecule: ribosomal RNA, 504 nt
Filed under: Candidatus Edwardsiibacteriota bacterium
Lineage: Bacteria; Candidatus Edwardsiibacteriota
Description: partial 23S ribosomal RNA
Rfam family: Bacterial large subunit ribosomal RNA
Source: RNAcentral
AAGCGUUUAAGGGCAUCUGGUGGAUGCCUUGGCGCCAGGAGGCGAUGAAGGACGCGGUAGGCAGCGAAAUUCUCCGGUGAGCCGCCAAGCAGGCUUUGACCCGGAGGUGUCCGAAUGGGGCAACCCGGCUGGAGUCAUAUCCAGUCAUCCUUUGACUGAAUUCAUAGGUCUUAGGAAGCGAACGCAGGGAAGUGAAACAUCUCAGUACCUGCAGGAGAGGAAAUCAACCGAGAUUCCCGAAGUAGCGGCGAGCGAAACGGGAUUAGGCCAAACCGUGUGCUUUCGAGCAUGCGGGGUUGUAGGGCCGCCAUAAUUGAUCCGCGACUAGAGAGCAGAACAGGCUGGGAAGCCUGACCAUAGAGGGUGAAAGUCCCGUAUGUGGUAUCGAAAGCGGCAUGGGCGGUUCCUGAGUACCGCGAGGCACGUGAAACCUCGUGGGAAUCCGGGUGGACCAUCAUCCAAGCCUAAAUACUCCCUGGCGACCGAUAGUGUACCAGUACCGUG